GAUACCCCAGGUCAGG
This 16-nucleotide ribosomal RNA is filed under the name Rhynchospora gracillima. RNAcentral describes it as "partial 26S ribosomal RNA". RNAcentral also lists the same sequence under 7 other names. The record is from RNAcentral. Lineage: Eukaryota; Viridiplantae; Streptophyta; Magnoliopsida; Poales; Cyperaceae.